GCCAGAUACUAUUGAAUAACAGAGAACCAAAGAUGAGGAGGACAGCCUCUGUCCCUAAUAAGGUCACAAUGUGAGGAGGGAAGCAGGUCCCAGCAGCAGCAGUGCUGCCCGGCUGUGCUGAAGAGACCAGCGCUGCUCCGAUGCCUCUGCUGCGUCAUCUUGUUCACCUGCCGCGCAGCCUCCAGGAACAAGCGCAUCCUCUGCCUCCAAGUUCUGCAGAUCAGCAGCGGACGUGGACACGCCCCCCUCAGAGCAUGACACAGAGAUGCUCGGUGAACUCUUGUCAUCUGAGUGGAGCUCGCACCUAGCUGCGCUCUAGGCAGAGCUACAUGUGUCCCACCAGAAAUAUUUAGACGGUCAAGCCCCUCUUCUUGAACAUGACGGGAAUGUUGAGCUUGGUGAUUAACUAUGAAGAAACAAAGAGGAAGUCUAGGAAAAUUUCAUGGGAAAGCGCUACUUUUGAAAAGGGGAGAGAGAAAAACAACUCUAACAACUAUCUUGGCACCAUUAACUACUAGUUAAAGUUGGAAAUUUGAUGGAGUUUAGUUUUCAUACUUGACAGAGACCCCUACUUACACAUAUAACCCCAGAACUACAGUCAUGCUGUGUGGUCUGAAUGUCCCCACAUGCUGUGUGCUGUCCUACUUCUAACUCCCUCCAGGGGAGCCACAAAGCCACCCUUAAAGUUUUACUCCUAUGGAAAAACACCAUUUUUUCAUAAUUACAGUUUUGAUUUCUGUGAGUGUGCAGCCUUGGAUAUGUUGAACCAAUUAAGUGAAACUGGUUAAAAGCCAAAGAAAAUGGAAUUUUGGCUAUUGCC
Chinchilla lanigera (long-tailed chinchilla) is the source of this 820-nucleotide long non-coding RNA. RefSeq lists it as uncharacterized. The transcript is spliced from 3 exons. The record is from RefSeq and is a predicted model, not a curated record. NCBI's taxonomy places the organism in Eukaryota, Metazoa, Chordata, Mammalia, Rodentia, Chinchillidae.